CGGGGUGAGUAAUGUAUGGGGAUCUGCCUGAUGGCGGGGGAUAACUACUGGAAACGGUAGCUAAUACCGCAUAACGUCGCAAGACCAAAGAGGGGGACCUUCGGGCCUCGCGCCAUCAGAUGAACCCAUAUGGGAUUAGCUAGUAGGUAAGGUAACGGCUUACCUAGGCGAUGAUCCCUAGCUGGUCUGAGAGGAUGAUCAGCCACACUGGAACUGAGACACGGUCCAG
RNAcentral lists this ribosomal RNA (229 nucleotides) under uncultured bacterium. RNAcentral describes it as "partial 16S ribosomal RNA". It matches the Rfam family "Bacterial small subunit ribosomal RNA", at positions 104 to 334 of the family's 1533-position model. The record is from RNAcentral.